Molecule: long non-coding RNA, 612 nt
Organism: Rhipicephalus microplus (southern cattle tick)
Lineage: Eukaryota; Metazoa; Arthropoda; Arachnida; Ixodida; Ixodidae
Source: RefSeq, a predicted model, not a curated record
ACAGCUUUAGUACCCAGCUGCAGUCGCACCUGCGUUCAAGCGGGGCUACCUAGGUGAAUGUCGUUUCUCUUCAUCUAAAAAAGCAUGAAUACCCACACACUGAUCACUUUUCUGGUUGUGAAUACAAUAAUUUCUGAAAGUCUCGCAGGAGACCAAAAGAAGACUUCGGUCCCGAACUUGAGUGGAUCUAAUCAAGGCAAACAAUUGCCUGGAGCGGAAGGUGGACACAAUGGUCCCGAAGAAACAGUGGACAUAGUCUUGGGAGACUGCGAUCAGUGCUCCUGCAAGCUCAUUUUACGAGAGGAAUCUGAAGAGGAUGACAACAAAUGCCAAAAAAUAAUGGACAUUCGGUGUACGUGUAACGGAAAUCAUUGUACAAGCAAAGAAAUAUCAAACUGCUUGGCUGACAUGGCUGACACGUCUUAAUAAAAAGAAACGUUGGGGUUGCGGACCACUCAAUAAAGGUUUUCCAUGGGUGAGUUUACAAUAUUCAACAAUACUACUUUGUAUUGCAAUGCAAAGGUUCGGAUACGAUAUGGACAUAUGGUGACAAAAUUCACUGUACUUGAAUAAAACUAUCUCGCUCGCCAUGUCCUCCUCUCUCUCACACUG